AAUCAACGCUGGCGGCGUGCCUAACACAUGCAAGUCGAACGCGAAAAUGGAGCAAUCCAUGAGUAGAGUGGCAAACGGGUGAGUAACACGUGGGUGACCUGCCUUCGAGUGGAGGAUAACGUCCCGAAAGGGACGCUAAUACCGCAUAAUAUGCUGUCUUUUAAGAGAGAGACAUCAAAGCCGGGGACCGCAAGGCCUGGCGCUUGAAGAGGGGCCCGCGCCUGAUUAGCUAGUUGGUGGGGUAAUGGCUCACCAAGGCAACGAUCAGUAUCCGGCCUGAGAGGGCGGACGGACACACUGGGACUGAGACACGGCCCAGACUCCUACGGGAGGCAGCAGUGGGGAAUUGUUCGCAAUGGGCGCAAGCCUGACGACGCAACGCCGCGUGGAGGAUGAAGAUCUUCGGGUCGUAAACUCCUUUCGAUCGAGACGAAUGGCCCUUGGGAUAAUACCCUGAGGGAGUGACGGUACCGAGAGAAGAAGCCCCGGCUAACUCCGUG
Molecule: ribosomal RNA, 500 nt
Filed under: uncultured bacterium
Lineage: Bacteria
Description: bacterial SSU rRNA
Rfam family: Bacterial small subunit ribosomal RNA
Source: RNAcentral